UAGGUAGAAGCCAGUGGGUUUAGGCAUUUAGCUGUUAACUAUAGUCUUGUGGGAUCGAAGCCCAUCUACCUAG
This 73-nucleotide transfer RNA is filed under the name Xenicus gilviventris (South Island wren). Its description in RNAcentral is "tRNA-Asn". The record is from RNAcentral. Lineage: Eukaryota; Metazoa; Chordata; Aves; Passeriformes; Acanthisittidae.